This 59-nucleotide small nuclear RNA is filed under the name Lynx canadensis (Canada lynx). Its description in RNAcentral is "U7 small nuclear RNA (ENSLCNG00005020875.1)". It matches the Rfam family "U7 small nuclear RNA". Rfam says of the family: Animal histone pre-mRNAs are spliced by a different mechanism than nuclear pre-mRNAs and self-splicing introns. Lineage: Eukaryota; Metazoa; Chordata; Mammalia; Carnivora; Felidae. The record is from RNAcentral.
AAUUGUUUUAAGAUCUUUUUUUUUUUUUUAGGAGGCUUCACUUCCAGUGUGAAGCCCAA